UUGAUUUAUUCGGUUGAGUACCGGGACGAAUUAGAAUAAAUCUGCUUUAUCAUUGAUAUGUAAAUGAGACGCGGUAGAGUGGUUAAGGGCGCGUAAUUUGAAUAGGGAGUGGCACAGGAAUGUGUGCGUGGUUGGAUUGAAGGUAGAUCACUUCACGCUUGCGAGCAGCAACGACAACACACAAUUUUUGUGGCGCUGUACUUCCAUUGCGUUAUAUCAGCAAAUGGGAGAGAUGGCAGUUUUGCUCUCCUAAAGUCAAUUCGACAUCUCAUUUUAAGAAGCUACAUUACAUUCAAGGCUACUGACAACAGAGCUCGCCCCUGCAUCGGUAUCAAUCAAGACAAGACAGUUGUCAAUAGCAGAUGGACCGAAGAUCGGAAAGCAGAAAGCAGAAAGCCAGUUUACGAAGCUAAGUUAAAUUACAGUCUUUUUAAUUUGCAAAAAUGUAGUUGCAGAUGUUGAAAUUCACAGAUGAUUUUUUUGAGAACGGAGAGAUUUCUGGUUCCGAACGAAGAGUGUUCUGGAGAUUUACUUUCCCAUCGUGAAUUGUGGGGACUUUUACACUAGUUCUUUGUUAUAAGAUGUAACCAGUCUCAGAAAAUGGUCAAUUUCAGAAAACCCACACUCUACUUGUUGAGACGAAAUAUAGGCCCUAGAUUGAAUCGAUGUUCUGCCAUAUACAAUUUGUUGGAAACCCAUAAUAAAGCCGUUUAUCAUUAAUCCUUUGUAAGUUUCAAUUCAGUGACAACAAGUGAAUGUCGUCCGAAAAGGGAGUAGAUAGCCCUGGCAUCAAUCAGUCAAAUUUGGUGAUACGCCCAUAUUUCUUUGUUCCUUGACAACGUAUUGAUUCACGUUGAAGUUUGAUCUGAAAAUCUUAAAUAUCACCUUUUGAGCGUUUGACCAAUCAGGUUUUCCUGGGUUUCACAGAAAUUUUGUUUUUCCAAUUUGUUCCAAUUCCUACCAUCAUAUGUGUCUUUAAAUUGUACCAAAAUAGUACGAUCGCUGGAAAAAGGGGCAAUUGCAAGAACAAGGAGAGUUGUCUUAGAAGACAGUUUGGGACACUCCAGUUUCCUUCAGAAAGCCAUAGAAUAGAGAGCACAGUGCUCAAACCAAAAGUGGUUGGUUCUAAAAUGCUCAAAACGGGGUUGAAGUGGUGAAGAAGUUGGUUCAGAAGCUCAUCUUCAACAGCGAUAAUUGGAGGCAGCGGAGUCCUCAAUCAGCCAAAAGUCAAGAGCUGGAUAUAGUCUCGCCAGUCAACUGCUUUCCAUGCUACUCGAGUCACAAGCCCCAUCAACAGUCUCGCAGUACAGAUCAUCCUUCACGAGAUGGCGACAAUGGGCAGAGUUGCACGGAAUAUCAUCCCUACCCGCAGAUCCUUACAUGGUAGCCUUAUACCUGAUCCAUAUUGGAACUCUGCAACAUCACCAUGCACCUACAGUCACAAACUCUUUAGCUGUCAUGUCAUGGGUUCAUCUCAUGGCUAGUUGGGGACCAUGAUACAACCAAAGACCCUCUGGUGUCAUACACCGCGCUAUAGGUCUGACAAGAACACUGGUUAAGCCAAAGAAAGAUCCAAUUACACCAGAUAUUCUUUCUGAGAUAGUGCCAAAAUAGGGUAAAGACCGUUCAGUACACAUCUUAUUUCAUAUAAGAAUCCUGGUCAAGGCCCUUAUUUCAUAUACCGGGUCUUAUCGGCUCAGUGAGUUAGCCGCACUUUAAUUGAAGUAUUUACGUGUUAUCUCAUGCACUCGGCCAUGUGAAUUCAGUUAUUAUUGCGAGGUAAUUAUUAUCAACAUGUACAGUUGCAAUGUUGGAAUUGUAUGUCAAGUGAGUCAAAGUUUUCCCUUCAGAUAAAGACCUUCUUUUGUGUUCAUAAACUUAAACAAAUGUUAAAGAAGAGUAUAAAGUGAUUUCAUAGAGGUAUAAACCGAUGAAGUACUCGAGAGUUUGAGAGGGAAGGUUAGAGUUUUCACAGAGCAGCCCCAUGCUGCUGUUUGAGUCUUAGCGGCUAUCAAAGCAGAUAUCCAACAGGCUGUUCAAGCGUCAUGGACGCCAUAUCAGAGACAGAGAAGGAUACUUUAAUAUAUCCAAGAGAGUGAUUGCAAUAUGAUGUUAAAUAUCUAAAUCCUUUUGGGGAUUCAGCAUUACAGACCCGUUCUUUAUAGUUCAUACCGGUUGCUGCUGCAAGCACAAAUACCAAAAUCAGGAUGAUUUGAUUGUUUAUUGUGUAGAA
Molecule: long non-coding RNA, 2233 nt
Organism: Patiria miniata (bat star)
Lineage: Eukaryota; Metazoa; Echinodermata; Asteroidea; Valvatida; Asterinidae
Exons: 2
Source: RefSeq, a predicted model, not a curated record